RNAcentral lists this long non-coding RNA (404 nucleotides) under Olea europaea (common olive). Its description in RNAcentral is "long non-coding RNA (OEUR_LNC005414)". The record is from RNAcentral. Lineage: Eukaryota; Viridiplantae; Streptophyta; Magnoliopsida; Lamiales; Oleaceae.
AGCUAUUGGGGGUCCAUUUAACCUCAUUGACCAUAAUGGGAAAGCUGUCACUGAUAAGGACUUUCUAGGGAACUGGAACUUGAUUUAUUUUGGCUUCACUCACUGCCCCGAUAUAUGCCCGGAUGAGCUACAAAAGCUUGCUGCUGCAAUUGAUAAAAUAAGUAAGUUUCUCGAUUUUACUUUGUGGUUGUCAUUGUGAUGCCAUCUUUGUGAUCAUUUUAUGUUGUGAUGAUGGAAGCAGUUGAAAUAUUGUUUGUUGACUGACAUUGGUGGGGUUUGUCUGUUAUUAUUUAAUCUAGGAUAGGUUUAAAACUUGUACACCUUAAAUUUGUUCUUGCAUUGAUUUAUAUUUGGUUAAAUUUUGCCAAAAUACUUGGUUUCUCAUUUUUCUGCAUUUGUAGAAG